RNAcentral lists this long non-coding RNA (1339 nucleotides) under Gossypium barbadense (sea-island cotton). Its description in RNAcentral is "long non-coding RNA (GBAR_LNC015870)". Lineage: Eukaryota; Viridiplantae; Streptophyta; Magnoliopsida; Malvales; Malvaceae. The record is from RNAcentral.
UUUCAACUCUUUGAGCUAUUUUUCUUUGUGAGAUUUCUCUUUUAUUUAUUAAUCUAGAAGUAGGUUUUGUUCUUGGUUUUGAAGGCGUGGGAGAACUUUCAUCCUCCAAUUUAUUAGGGUUCGACUUUAGAGGGUUGGUUAGAGCCAUUUGUGGAGCUUGUUGAACAAAAUUCUUCAAAGGUUUUUAUAGGAUAUUGACUUUUCAUUAUCAUUGGUUGUUUUUAUUGAAGCUUUGUUCUUUAAGGGGGACAAAUUUUCCAUCAUCCAUUUUAUUUUCGUUUUCUUCCAUUCAAUAUUUUUUUUUCAUCCCACCCUAAUAUUUAUUUUUUCUUGAUUUUAUGUUUUGUUUUUCUCUUUAUUUUCAUUAUUUCUAAUCCGUUUUGUUUCUUCUUUUAGGUUAAAUUCAAAUAUUAUUUCAAGUUAAACAACUUGAAUAUGAUCUUCUUCCAUUGUCACCGUAUCAUUUGGUAUCACUCCACCUCGUGGGUCUACAACAAUGCGUGCACAUAUAGUGAGGACCACACCUCUAAUUGAGGCAGCAUAUCUGUACAUCAUAUUAAUCAUUAUCCUAAGAGAACAAUGCGUACCUAGGAGAAAGCAUGUUGAUAGUUCGGUUGAGCUCCAAAGAGUAUGAAGCCAACUAAGAACCAACAUGUGAGACCUUAGGAAGGGUCGACGAUGCCCUUUAUAAGACCCUCUAAGGUUAAGGUUUCAAUUUCUCUCUCUCUCUCUCUCUCUCUCUCUCUCUCUCUCUCUCUCUCUCUCUCUCUCUCUCUCUCUCCCCCUCCUCCUUCCCUCAUCUUUCCCAACCUCAUUUCUUUCUCCUAAGCACUCAUAACACCUCUUAAGGCUCUCUGCCCAUCGGAUGAAUCGUCACCAACCACUAUGAUCCUACUUGGUAUCAACAGGCAUACAUGUAUAAAGUUAUAUAACUCUAUUUUACAAUAUAUAUAUAUAUUAAGAAUUCUAUAAACCGAGGCAUGCAUGAAGGAAAUGAAAAGACAUUAUUCUUGUGAAAACUAUUAUUCAUUGAGAUACUCCAACAACACAGGAGUGUACAUGCUUUUUCUUUCUCAUAACACUAUACUUUAAACAUAGAAUCUCUCUAAAUAAUCUAAUAUGAAUAUUAGAUAGCAAUUGCACCUUCAAUUUAUAAUGAGAAUGUGUUACUUUUUUUUCCCAACAUAUUAGACUCUUCAAUCUCUUGUGCACACUUGAAGUUGCAAUACCAAGUUUAGGAUUGUUAAAUAUGUUUUUUUUUUGUAUAAUUAAGUUUUAUGGUUCAUGAAGUUCAAUCCUUUCUGGAUUUAUAACUAUCUCUCUCAAUAACAUUAUCUCU